UAAAAUAGGACAACUACUUUGUCUUCGUGGC
RNAcentral lists this non-coding RNA (31 nucleotides) under Rattus norvegicus (Norway rat). Lineage: Eukaryota; Metazoa; Chordata; Mammalia; Rodentia; Muridae. The record is from RNAcentral.